This 927-nucleotide ribosomal RNA is filed under the name Lampropholis guichenoti. RNAcentral's name for it is "partial 16S ribosomal RNA". The stretch from base 358 to 927 matches the Rfam family "Archaeal large subunit ribosomal RNA", at positions 1423 to 2650 of the family's 2987-position model. Lineage: Eukaryota; Metazoa; Chordata; Lepidosauria; Squamata; Scincidae. The record is from RNAcentral.
UUUAGACUAAACAAGCACUAACUAGCCCACCAACUAGACUAAAAGAUAUUCGAUUAGGGUACAGCCCUAUCGAAAACGGAUACAACCUAAGCUAGUGGCCCAGAGACUAAACACCCUAUUCAGUGGGCCUUAAAGCCGCCACCAAUAAAUAGAGCGUCAUAGCACAACACCUUAGAUACCAACAAUCUAAACAAACCCCUAGCAAGCCACCGAGCCGUACUAUACCCAUAGUAGUACUAAUGCUAAAACUAGUAACAAGAAAACUUCUCUCGACACCCCUAUGACCCAGAAAUAGAAGACCUACUGGAUGUUAACAGACCAAAAUAGGGACACUAAACUGUCAAACCGACACAGGAGUGCCACAAAGAAGGUUAAAAACUAUAUAAGGAACUCGGCAACCUUCCUGUUCCAACUGUUUACCAAAAACACAGCCUUUAGCCGAACAAGUAUUAAAGGUGCUGCCUGCCCAGUGAAAUUUUUAAACGGCCGCGGUAUCCUAACCGUGCAAAGGUAGCGUAAUCACUUGUCUUUUAAAUAAAGACUGGUAUGAAAGGCUAAAUGAGAACAGACCUGUCUCUUAUAGUUAGCCAGUGAAACUGAUCUUCAAGUACAAAAGCUUGGAUAAACACAUAAGACGAGAAGACCCGUGGAGCUUUAAACCAACCCUAUAAAUCAAAAUAAGUAUGCGGUUUUAAGUUGGGGCGACUUCGGAAUAAAACGAGACUUCCGAGCACAGAGCCAAACCCCUCACACCUAGAUCCAAGAUCAAAGAAAACACCGACCCAGUAAUACUGAGCAACGAACCAAGUUACCCCAGGGAUAACAGCGCCAUCUUCUUCAAGAGGCCCUAUCGACAAGAAGGUUUACGACCUCGAUGUUGGAUCAGGACACCCAAAUGGUGCAGCAACUAUUAAAGGUUCGUUUGUU